This 253-nucleotide ribosomal RNA is filed under the name uncultured bacterium. RNAcentral describes it as "partial 16S ribosomal RNA". It matches the Rfam family "Bacterial small subunit ribosomal RNA", at positions 524 to 776 of the family's 1533-position model. The record is from RNAcentral.
UACGGGGGGGGCAAGCGUUGUUCGGAAUUACUGGGCGUAAAGGGCGCGUAGGCGGCCUACUAAGUCGGACGUGAAAUCCCUCGGCUCAACCGAGGAACUGCGUCCGAUACUGGCAGGCUGGAAUCCGGGAGAGGGAUGUGGAAUUCCAGGUGUAGCGGUGAAAUGCGUAGAUAUCUGGAGGAAUACCGAUGGCGAAGGCAGGUCUCUGGGCUAUAACUGACGCUCAUGCACGAAAGCGUGGGGAGCAAACAGG